GAUGAACGCUAGCGGCAGGCCUAAUACAUGCAAGUCGGACGGGAUUCAGGAGCUUGCUUCUGAUGAGAGUGGCGCACGGGUGCGUAACACGUAUGUAACCUACCUUUAUCAGGGGGAUAGCCUCUCGAAAGAGAGAUUAAGCCCGCAUAAAAUCACAGCACAGCAUUGUGUAAUGAUCAAAAAUUUAUAGGAUAAAGAUGGGCAUGCGGAACAUUAGCUAGAUGGCGGGGUAACGGCCCACCAUGGCGACGAUGUUUAGGGGAUCUGAGAGGAUGGCCCCCCACACUGGUACUGAGACACGGACCAGACUCCUACGGGAGGCAGCAGUAAGGAAGAUUGGUCAAUGGGCGGAAGCCUGAACCAGCCAUGCCGCGUGCAGGAAGACGGCCCUACGGGUUGUAAACUGCUUUUAUACGGGAAUAAACCCAGAUACGUGUAUCUGGCUGAAUGUACUGUAAGAAUAAGGAUCGGCUAACUCCGUG
Molecule: ribosomal RNA, 482 nt
Filed under: uncultured bacterium
Lineage: Bacteria
Description: partial 16S ribosomal RNA
Rfam family: Bacterial small subunit ribosomal RNA
Source: RNAcentral